UGCAGCUGUGUCAGAUUCUGUUCCUGCCUCACCCCCAGGGCUCCUGGUGCUGAUCCAAACAGCCGCCACAGGAGCGCUGGGCCUCAGGGAUAAAUUUGGUCACAGACACCC
RNAcentral lists this small nucleolar RNA (111 nucleotides) under Sorex araneus (European shrew). Its description in RNAcentral is "Small nucleolar RNA SNORA5 (ENSSARG00000019652.1)". It matches the Rfam family "Small nucleolar RNA SNORA5". From Rfam's summary of the family: ACA5 is a member of the H/ACA class of snoRNA that guide the sites of modification of uridines to pseudouridines. Lineage: Eukaryota; Metazoa; Chordata; Mammalia; Eulipotyphla; Soricidae. The record is from RNAcentral.